This 65-nucleotide transfer RNA is filed under the name Lagostrophus fasciatus (banded hare-wallaby). RNAcentral's name for it is "transfer RNA-Ser". The record is from RNAcentral. Lineage: Eukaryota; Metazoa; Chordata; Mammalia; Diprotodontia; Macropodidae.
GAGAAAGUCAUAGAGGUUAUGUGACUUGAAAUCAAUCUUAGGGGGUUCGAUUCCUCCCUUUCUUG